Molecule: non-coding RNA, 8251 nt
Organism: Podarcis muralis (Common wall lizard)
Lineage: Eukaryota; Metazoa; Chordata; Lepidosauria; Squamata; Lacertidae
Source: RefSeq, a predicted model, not a curated record
UGGCGUUAGAAACUUCCUCUACUUUUCUAAAAAGUAGAAAAGGAGCCAAACCUUCCUCACACCCUGUCGGCACAGCAUCCACAUUUUCGGGACAGAUAUUCAACGGAUAGAGACAGCAGAGGUUUCUGCGGAAGCAUUUCUUCAUGUCAUUCAGAGUCUGGCAGGGCUUUGAAAGCCUUAUGACCUCCCGCGCGGAAGAAGGGCAGGGAUUGAGAAGCCAAGUUACUCAGGAUUUAAAAACGUUGGCAUUUACUGUGUUGUUGUUUCUAGGUAGUUCUGCAGGCAGAAAUUCAACGCAUGUGGCCUUUCCCUGUUCAUAGAGAUGUAAAAAGCUGCACUGUUGAAUUUUUACCUGCUUUGCCGACUUUCAAAGAGCAAAUUGGUUCUCGGACGGACGAACAACACAGGAUAUGAAAAACGAGAGUAUAUUUCUAAUCAUGAGAUUCGUAGAUUCAUUAUUCCGUAUCAACCCGUUUCAGUUUUGCCAGGGCACGAGGUCAAACGUGUACUUUUGUGUGUUAAAGGACCUAUACACCAGCCCUCUUCAUUUAUGUGGCCAAAUACACACUUUCCUUUUCUGUUCAGUUUUUUAAGCUGCCCACUUAUUUAUUUACCGAAAUUUAUAUACUGUACUGCUUUAUAGAUGCGUUACAUAACUGGUUACAAGCUCGUUCCCGUCGGCCUAACGAAUCAUACCGUUUGCUUAAGAAGUGAGAUGUGCUUUAAAUUCUCCCAGUUGUGUAGCACGACUUGGGAGCAAGACGGGGGAGCACUGAAUUUCCAAAACUUUAUUAUAUACCGUAAUUAAAAAACAACAACAAUUCAACACUGAAUGAGGGCGCAGGCCCAUCCAACGAGCAGAAACCAUUGUGGGAGAACUGUCACGAUAACUUUAAAACCUGCAACGAAAUGGGGCCGUGUAACCCGGUUCUAUUUUAUCUGAGGUUGGUUUCCGCGCAGUCCCUGCGUCUAGGACUCUUUCCCCGCUAGUGGAGGAGUCUUGCAGAACGUCAAUCGAAAACCGGAAGCUUAAGUCGCUUUCCCCCCUAUCCCUUCGGCUUCCGCCCUCAUCACUGGCCGUACGCCAUUGGUUGAGAGGGCGGGAUUUAUGUACACUAUGGGCUGUUAUUCAACCGUCAGUGAGUCAAUCAAGCGACUUUGUCAGUUACCGAAGUAGCAGCAAGUUUGUAUGCGGCCUUUAAAUUAGGUGCGGGGAGGCCCCAGCGGCGGCGGCGGCGGCGGCGGCCAGCAGUUGCUCGAGGGGGAAUAGGUUUGGGAUUGCGUGCGCAUAAAUGGCUGCUGAGCUUAAACAGGCGGCUGGUCUGGAGACGCUGCUAGGGAGCCUGUGCGCGUGAAAACAUGCGUGGCCGUUACUGCCCCCGUCGCCGUCCGCCUCCUGCGCAGAAGGGUGCGGGGAGGGGGCGCUCUUCUCGGCCAACGGCUGCGACCCCCGCCCUGCUUUCCUCCCGCCUUCCCUUGGGCCGGGUCUGGGGCGUGGUUCUUCUGGCACCAACGAAUAAUAAUGGCUUCCCUUGCGCGGUGCGUGUGCGCGCGAGGAGAGAGAGAGGGGGGAGUGGGCCGGGGCUUGGAGCCGAGCCCGCCGGGACGCCUCUGAGGGGGCGGUUCGCGAAGCGGCGGCGGGGCGUCCCCUGCUAAGCCUGCGCGCGGCCGCCUUGGGCGCAGUGGCUCCGCUUCCUCGGCGGCGACAGCGGCUCUUCCCCCGAGUCCCUCUCAGCGAGGGCGAACCGUUAAAUUGCCGCCUCGGAGGAGCGACCCGCCGUAAUUGGCCGCGGGAGGGGCGAGGGGACGACUUCCAGAAAGCCAGCCCGGGCUCGCGGCUCCGUGGGCAGGCGCCUUCCCCUUUCCUAGGAAGUGGGGUCAGGGAGCAGCAAGCCCCGCAUUAGGCCUCCGCACUCCCCCCCCCCCCUCACAAAAAAAGCGACUCCCAAGUUAAUGUGUUUCUUCAGCCCGAAGCAGAAAGCAGCCUUUCCGUGUGCGUGGAAGCCUCUGGCUCCAGGGAGAACGUGUGACAGAGACCGCUUCGGGAGGGCUUCCUCCAUUUUCCUUGCUGAUUACCUUUCCUGAGAAUAGACACGUGUUAGGGUGGAGAGCGGCGAGCCUGGGCUGUGAAAAACAGGGCAGCGCAAAUACAGUAUAAACGUUUCCUGGCGCUUACGGGAGAAAAACAACAAACGCCAUACUCUCUCACACACACAUACCCUAACUAACGCACUUUCACGAGUCUUCAGCUCCCCUCAGUACACCCGGAAGGAAGAAAAUGCAAAAUGCAAAGUUGAAAUGUUUUGCUUUGCUUCCCCCAAGGACCGCUCUGGGAGACUUCUCGUAUUAAUAAUUCUGUAUUUAUCUAAACUCGUCUGUCGAAAGAGUGUAUGUCAGUAGUUUUACAUAAUGGAAACAUAGGCGUUUUCAAAAUUGCCCAAUUUCCUAAAAUAUCAAACACAGUCUAAUACUGUAUACCCUUACCUGAAAGUCAGCCCUGUCUUUCUUCUGAGCAACCUAACUAGAAUUUCCCUAUUACACUAUAAUAGCUGUGUGCUACAUUCUUGUCGGAUGAAAAUUGUCCUUGUGAGAGUGAGCUGGGAAAUAAUAACUUUGUCUCCAAGUACUUUUAGAUACAGUUACUAGUGUAAUGCCUUGUUUUUGUGAUGUUCAGGUAAGAAAGAAUUUCAUCCAAUGAAUUUUUAUGAGCUGCUGUAGAGUUCUUGAAAUUGACUUAAAUGUAGACCAAAGGCAAAUAGUCUUUACCCUAGUUCUUUAUUUUCCAGCUGCACAUAGUACUGCCACACCUCAUAAUAGUAUUGUGAAGACUUGCAUGUUGAAGAAGUAUUAUGUUUCCAUACUGUAUAGUUUCAUUUGUGAAAUCCUUUGAAAAUACUUGGUCAUUUUUUCUUCUCAUAUUUGCAUAUUGUAUUUUUCCUCGGUUUUAAUUGCUUUGGUGAAAAUGGGAGUGGUGCUUCUCCUGAAAAUUGAAUUGACUCUGUAUUUCUGCUGAGCCAUACCACCGCCAUUGUGUUAUGCUGUACCACAUUAAUUUAUAAAGCCUGUCAUUAAUUUUGGAAUGUAAGGACUUCAUUCACCAAUGUUCUGGAAAUGUGAAGUUUGGAAGAGCUGUAGGCACCACCUUGUCUGCUUGUUUCUCUUCUCCCUUGGUUCACUGUCCCCCCCCCCCAACACACAGAGCACAUGCACACACACAGCUUUACCAAGGGUCUGGGUAAAAACUGCAUCCAGUAAAACUGAAAUGGAUCUUCUUGAAUUUGCAUAAUUUUACAUGGCACUCUGCCAUCAUAUUGUUUUAGGAUUGUGGUGUUGAUCCAGAUAUCAUCCUUGGACAGUGGUUUUAUAUAUGAAACUAUAGCAGAAGGAACCGUUGACAUGGUGAAACCAGUCUCUGUUAAGGGCUGGCCCUAACAGAAACUAUUAAGUGUAUCUGUGCAUGACUAUGGAGUUUGCAAAGUACAGGUGCCAUGGACAUGAUAAGCUAGUGUGGCAUAGUGGUUAGAGUGUCGCACUAGGACAGGCUUCCUCAAACUUGGCCUUCCAGAUGUUUGGAGACUACAAUUCCCAUCAUCCCUGAACACUGGUUCUGCUAGCUAGGGAUCAUGGGAGUUGUAGCCCAAAAACAUCUGGAGGUCCGAGUUUGAUGAAGCCUGGACUAGGACCUCAGAGACCAGUGUUAAAAUCCCCACGUGGCUAGUUACUGGGUGACCUUCAGCCAGUCAUUGUCUAACAUACCUCACAGGAUUGUUUUGGAGAUUAAAUGGGGGGGGGAACCAUGUACACCAAAUUGAAAUCAUUGGAGAAGAAGUGGCAUAUGAAUGCAAUAAAUAAUAAAUUAACUAGUGAUGCUUCUAGAAGGGGGCAUUCUUCCCCAUGUCUUCAGUGACAGAGCUGCAUGCUCUGGCACCGGGGACUGAGAACAGGUGGGGGCGUAGCUGGUCACAUCCCAGGGGGCAUGGUGCGUUUCCCGGGGGUGUGGCAUGGCGCCUGCAGGGGCGUGGUGCGCCGCACACAGGGGCAUGGCGCCCACCACGGGGGUGCGCAGCACGCACCCCAGCAGUGCGCAGCACAAGUCAGGGAGGCGGCUGUGAUGGCACCCCACCCCGGAUAGUAUCCAGAGUGGACCACUCCCCUGCCCCCCUUCCUCUGCCAUUGCAUAUCUGGAGAUGUUGACUGGUGGGUGUAAGAGAACAACAGAACAGGAUUCAGUCCAGUCUCUAUGGAGCUGGGGAACACAAACUUGACUUGCUCUCUGUGCUGAAUCCAGGACUAUAGGAAGGGUGCUAGAACGUUCGGAGUCUCACUGCUCAGAUUGGGGUGCCCACAACAAUAUUAAAGCUUACAUUGGUAUAUUGCACGGGGCGGGGGACAAAUCUAUUGGAAAGCAACGAAACCACCAACAAAUCACAGGACCCAUCUUUCCUGUCUCCUCCACCACUCUCUUUUCCUCCCCUCAGUCUCCCAGAUUAUUAUUUUUUCUCUCCUACCCUCUCUUAGCAGUCCAUUGCUGUGCAGCUAAUGUGACCUUGAAAAGCAGAGCUGAAAGAGGACAUGGAAAAAUGCACCCACUCUUCUCUUGGUCUUUUUGCCCUAUGUACUUUUCAAAGGGGAAAAUUGUAAUCACCCUCACCAUCUUAUGUCAAAGGAGGCAGUGGGGUGGGGGGCUCAGAAUCUUUGUAGAUGCCAAAGGAUGUUCUGGUCAAAUUAAUGGAUAAUUAAAGGGCUUUUGUAGCAUGAAGUACUUUCCAUGAACUUUGGCCUAUCAGCUGCACCGCUUCUUGGAAAGAGAUGACCUUGCCACAGUUACUAAUACUCUGACUGCAUCUAGGUUGAAUUUACAUAUGGGGCUUCCCUUAAACUUCCCUGUAAACUUCAGCUGUUUCAGAACACAGCAGGUUGUUAACCUGAUUAUACUGAGAGAUUUGCAUUGGCUGCCACUUUGUGUCUGGCUGCUUGAUUGAAGCUAUACGCUCAAAAACUCUUGGGAUGCGGUAUCUGAAGAACCACUUGCUCCCAUAACAUUCUUCUUCUCCUCAGAAACCCUCCUCCAACUGACCUUCGGAGGCAAGGCAACUGGGGAGAUGGCCUUUGAAACUGUGUGCCUCUCUUACUCAGGGAUGGUUUCCAGACAUUUAGAUGCUUCGCAAAUAUUGGUUCCUGACACCCAUCUGUAAUAUAGGAUGUAUAGUGUGUGUGUGGCUUCCAAUAUAUGUACUGAAAGAUCACCUUUGACACCAGGGAAGUGCUUUCACUUAAAGCAAUUUAGACGUUGACAUGUAAUAUUUUAAUUCUAAUUAUAUUUAAGUGUUUUGAAUUGUGUUAACUGAUUCUUGUUAUUAUAUAUUUAUAUCCUGUAUUUUCCCCUGUCAGGGAGUCAAGGUGGUUUACAGAUAAAAUAUGAACCGCUAAAAAUGGGGAGGGGGGUAAUUAAAACACUUUUUUCAUUGAAAAUUUUAAUAUUGUCAAAUUUGGAGGUUUUACUACAAUUAAGUGGUAAAAAUAUUUUGCUAAAUAAAUAAAUUGAAAAUACAAUUUUGAGGUAUGUUCACUAUCUGACCAACUGGUAUAUACUUUCAAAAUCAGUUUCAUCACAUGGAAAGCCAUAAAUGAAGGCUGGGGGUUUUGACGAACAUAUUAUUGCAGGUGAUGGGCUCUAAAUAAGUACAGUUUCACUGUCAUAUAUAAUUUCCAGUUGGUGAAAUAGGAGAGAACUGAUUUCACUAAGUCUUCAUAAAUGAAAGUACUGUAUAUUCACAAUUGAUGGAUGGGCAUCCAGUAUACAGUCAUCAAUAAACUUUCCGUAGUAAACACAGUACUAAAGGAAAGCAGAAACCAUCCCUUUAUAUUUGUCAUCCCUGGCCAAUCAGCAACUUAAUAGAUGCUAGAAUUUUUGAAUAGCAUGUUGGACUAGUAGACCUUGGUCUGAUUCAGGAAAGCACAACUUCCAGUUACCUUCACCUCCAUUUAUUUGUUUUGUUAGUUACUCAACACAGGACAGUCUCUAAGUGAUGUACAGACAACUUUUAAAAUAUACAGAAUUGUUAAUAACUGUAAAGAUGUAAACAUUCUAAUCAAUACAUAAAACACCAGCUUCCCAAGAAGUGGGGCAGCAGCCAAGACCAGUGCUCUUAUAAAACUCUUUAGGAAGGAGGUCAUUUAAUACAGGAAAGCUAUGCCUCAUUAAGAGAUGCUGUACUGUACAGCAUACCUUCUAGUUUGUCAAUUUGUAUAAGUGGAAUUAGACAAGACUGAAGUUAUCACACACCUGAGAUAUGUCUUUAAGGCUCACCCAUGCAUAAGUUCUGUUGCACUCAGUGGGGAAUGCUUUUGAGUAAACAUGUAUAGGAUUGUACUGUAAAUCUUGUGUAUUAUUUUGACAAUUUCUUAAUGGAAGAAAUGUUAUAAAUAUAUGUUAAAUAGUUGCCAAUGCAGCCUUAUGCAUGUUUACUUGCACGUAUCCUGUUUUUUACAUAUAGAAAUUAAAUGCUUCAUAUUUUCUGCUUUAAGCCACCUUGUGAGCCCAAUUUAGAUUUAAAGACAGGUCAAAUUUUUAAAAAUAAAUAAGUUUUUUGUUUUCUAUCAUUGUUUACAAAUCUAGGAUAUUAAGAUAAAACCCUGCUAAUUUUUAAUUCCUUUAAAAUGACCCCAAAGCUGACAAAAAUUAAAUAAAUUUCAGAAGAAAAUCUACCUAAGGGAUUGUUCCAACAAUUGUGGAUUAGCCACUAAUAAUGUUUCACUGGGUGCCUUUCUUAUACAUAGGCUACACAAAUGGCUAAGCUAAAGGGUGCUCAUUGUUAUUUUAAGUCAUGAUAGGGAAGGAGGUAGUCACUUUAAUGUACAAGGGGUUAUAGGUUAAUCUCAAUAGCUUGUAUUAUUCCAGGACAGUUGGAGAUCUGCAAAUACAAAUACUUAACAUAAGCUCAGAAGGAACACUUUCUUGGUGAUUCAUUCUGACCAACAGCACAACAUCCGGAGAGUGCAAACUGCAGGAUAAAAAUCACCAGUAAAAGGCGCGUGAUUGACCCUCACCACACCACCUUCCCCUCUGCAGCUCUGCUACCACUAGCUAGGAUUUCUAUAAUAAGUUAACCAUACUGCACAAGUUUUUCUCCAGCUGCACUUAACAACCUGAAUGAAGAGUUUAAACAAGAGACUUGAAGAUAUCACUACCUGCAGUAGUUAACAGUAAUAACCAGCAUAUUUCAAGACUUCCUGUAUUUUUCCUUUAUCCUGCAAAUGUACAAUACUAAUUUGAUCAUCUCUUUAGUUUUCCAGAUCUUACCUCACCAUUCCCUAGUUGUGAGUCAAUUGUUCACCAUUUCAAAGUCGCUAAGAUUUUGCUCUUUUGAAAAGAUUCCAGAAUCAGAUUUUGUGCCCAAUACUAAAUGAGUUACCAUUUACCCACAAAACAUUGAUGUUUAAAUGAAAUGUAAUUUAUCAUCUGAAUAGCAUAAAUGUUUGUCACUCAAAUCUCUCUUUAGGCAUAUUCACCAUGCAUAAUCUCAGGUUAUUACAAUGCCAACAAUCAUCCUGGCCAUCUUUAUUUCACUGUAAAAUAGUAAAAUUCCAUUACCUGACCAGAGUUUCUUGAGACUAAUAAUAGGAAAUGCUGCUGGGCAUAGUAAAAAACAAAGAAACGCAAAACCACUUCUGUUCAUUCUCUGUUGUUACCUUCCCAGUGACUUUUCCCAGAUAAUUUCCUAACUUGGUUUUUAGAUCUAUUAAGAGACAGUAUGUUUUUGUCACAUUCAUAUUGACUAAUUCAUAUUAGUUUAUUAAAAAUGUUCUCACACUAAUCUUAAAAGUUUCAUUUCUUUUGUUCAUCCUGGAUGGAAAAUAUUGGAACCACAGAUUAUCAUUGUUACCUAUCCUAAUUUUAUUCCUGCUGACUUCUAGAAUGUUUAAAAUUUCCUCCCAGGAUUUUGUUAUCUGAAUUAUUUCUGCUAUUGUGAAAAAAUGCCAUCUUACUUGUUUGUAAUCCUAUGUACAUUUAACUAGUGAGAAACAGUCUUGUUACUUAUGAGUAAACAAGAUUACUCCGCUCUCCAGUGCCUUGAUGUGAAAUGACAAUGAAAGGUUGACAUCACUAAAAUCUUUAUAUGAUCAGACACAGACUGAAUUUCUAUUUCUGUAUUAUCUUUUGUCAUUUAAAGUCAUCAGAAUCUUGUCUGUUGUUAAAUAAUUUUGAUGUGGUGCAGAAUAAAACAUAAAAUGGUUUGAAUAUCUUAAA